RNAcentral lists this ribosomal RNA (492 nucleotides) under uncultured bacterium. RNAcentral's name for it is "partial 16S ribosomal RNA". It matches the Rfam family "Bacterial small subunit ribosomal RNA", at positions 29 to 507 of the family's 1533-position model. The record is from RNAcentral.
AGUGAACGCUGGCGGUAGGCCUAACACAUGCAAGUCGAACGGCAGCACAGUAAGAGCUUGCUCUUACGGGUGGCGAGUGGCGGACGGGUGAGGAAUACAUCGGAAUCUACUUUUUCGUGGGGGAUAACGUAGGGAAACUUACGCUAAUACCGCAUACGACCUACGGGUGAAAGCAGGGGAUCUUCGGACCUUGCGCGAUUGAAUGAGCCGAUGUGGGAUUAGCUAGUUGGGGGGGUAAAGGCCCACCAAGGCGACGAUCCGUAGCUGGUCUGAGAGGAGGAUCAGCCACACUGGAACUGAGACACGGUCCAGACUCCUACGGGAGGCAGCAGUGGGGAAUAUUGGACAAUGGGCGCAAGCCUGAUCCAGCCAUACCGCGUGGGUGAAGAAGGCCUUCGGGUUGUAAAGCCCUUUUGUUGGGAAAGAAAAGCAGCAGGUUAAUACCCCGCUGUUCUGACGGUACCCAAAGAAUAAGCACCGGCUAACUUCGUG